AAGUUUGACCUCAAAUCAGGUAGGAAUACCCGCUGAACUUAAGCAUAUCAAUAAGCGGAGGAAAAG
RNAcentral lists this ribosomal RNA (66 nucleotides) under Yamadazyma kanchanaburiensis. RNAcentral's name for it is "[Candida] kanchanaburiensis partial 26S ribosomal RNA". It matches the Rfam family "Eukaryotic large subunit ribosomal RNA", at positions 1 to 61 of the family's 3401-position model. Lineage: Eukaryota; Fungi; Ascomycota; Pichiomycetes; Serinales; Debaryomycetaceae. The record is from RNAcentral.